GAUUGACUCAUGUUGCCUCGGCGGGUUCUCCCGCCAGAGGAUACAUCAAAACUCAUGUUUUAACGGUGUUGUUUGAGCUACAAGCAACGAAUCAAAACUUUCAACAACGGAUCUCUUGGUUCUGGCAUCGAUGAAGAACGCAGCGAAAUGCGAUAAGUAGUGUGAAUUGCAGAAUUCAGUGAAUCAUGGAAUCUUUGAACGCACAUUGCGCCCCUUGGUAUCCCGAGGGGCAUGCCUGUUCGAGCGUCAUUUCACCACUCAAGCCUGGCUUGGUGUUGGGCGACGUCCCCUUUAGGGACGCGCCUCGAAACGCUCGGCGGCGUGGCACCGGCUUUAAGCGUAGCAGAAUCUUUCGCUUUGAAAGUCGGGGCCCCGUCUGCCGGAAGACCUACUCGCAAGGUUGACCUCGGAUCAGGCAGGGAUACCCGCUGAACUUAAGCAUAUCAAUAAGCGGAGGA
RNAcentral lists this ribosomal RNA (458 nucleotides) under uncultured Cenococcum. RNAcentral's name for it is "eukaryotic LSU rRNA". The stretch from base 96 to 249 matches the Rfam family "5.8S ribosomal RNA". The record is from RNAcentral. Lineage: Eukaryota; Fungi; Ascomycota; Dothideomycetes; Gloniales; Gloniaceae.